CGCUUCUCCGGGGUCUCGAGCCGGUCGGGCCCAGCAGCCCGCGCUCAGGGCAGGUGUCACAGCCCCGUUUGCCCACCCACGACCCGUGUCCUCUGGAAACAGCCCAACGACCCCCCGAAGAGUGUCCACCACCUCAAGGGGGAUGGCAAGGUGACGGGGGACACCCGAGGAUGGCCCCACAGGACGGUUGCUCUUUGGUUGUCCCCACACACACCCCUCGUCACAGGAGCCUGAAAUCUGCCUGGAGAGGUGGCGCAGAGCACCCUUCCCUGUGCAGACCCAUAAAUCACCAGCUGAACCAUCAGGACAGAGCCUCCGGCCCCCGCAGAAAAAGCACCUGGAUUUCAUCUUGCGGCAGGUGUCUUAGUCUGUUUUCUGUGGCUGUGACAGAAUGCCUGAGACCAGGUGAUUUUUAAAGAGAAGAUGUUUAUUCAGCCCACAGCUCUCGAAGGUGGAACCGAAGAUCCACUGGGCAGCCCAACCUGGUGAAGGCCAUAACACAGCAGGGGAGGGGAGGACAAGGGGCGCAUGCCAAAGAGAAAGCAAGAGACACUGGGCACUCACACCCCACCACGGCUUCCAGAAAGGCACCCUCCCUCGGAAUGUCCCAGUCACCUCUCCAAGGCUCCACCACCUGUUGGGACUCCUGCCCUGGGAACCAGGGUUCCAACAUGUGAGCGCUGGGGGACACAUUCAGCCAGGGGGUGUCUCUCUGCCUCAUGGGUAAGUCACCUUCCUGAGCCCAAGUGCAUAACUCUUGGGCAGCAUCACUAAGCUCUUUUCUCUCUACCUUUUGUCUUUGUGGUGCUUCUUGAACUCUCUGUAAAGACCACAAAGCUGCCAUCUGAUUCUGCCAGAAAUAAUUUCUGUCUUUGAAAAAAUACGGUUUUGAGAACAUCCGUGCGUCACCUGCUAACAUGCCCCAAAUGGCUCAGGGAUCCUUCUGCUGUUCUGAACCCGCUGGUUGGUGGCAGCACCACCCGACUCUUUUUCUGCCUCUGGAGAGCCAGGGACCAGACCACCGUCCCUCAGGGUGGCCUUGGGGACCCUCUAACUUGCAAUGGGGUCAGGAAUGAGGAUGGUUUCUGGGACUCUGAAUCGCACUCUGAAGUCCUGAGGCCACCAGGAACAGAGAGAGGGUGGGGCCUUCGUGGCCGCCGAUGCCCUCAGUCACUGAAGGCCGAAGUGCUCUUCUGUCCCCACCGCCUCUCCUCACCUCCUUUCUUCCCUCCAGAAGGCUUUGCCAUAGCAACAGGGACCAAGAAUCCCUCUCAGACACCAACCCCUUGGUCUCAGGACCCAGCUGCACCGGGGCAAGUGAGGAAGUCCCGGGGGAGAUCUACCCACUCUUUGUCCAUAGGAAUCAGCUGGGAGCUUUGGGGCUCCUCCCACUGGACAGGAACUGUCCCACCCCCGGACCUUGGCACGUGAUCUUCCCUCACUUAAACACAACUCCCCACCCCCAUGAUGAUCUUUCCCACCUCAGCUUCACCAGCACAGCCCUGGGAAGCCUUCUCCAGCCACCAGGGUAGACACCAGAAGGGACACCCCUCCGCACCAAGAGCUCUUAGUACCGUUUCUAGAACUAAAAGGGCAACAACUGUG
Molecule: non-coding RNA, 1605 nt
Organism: Ictidomys tridecemlineatus (thirteen-lined ground squirrel)
Lineage: Eukaryota; Metazoa; Chordata; Mammalia; Rodentia; Sciuridae
Source: RefSeq, a predicted model, not a curated record